This 3750-nucleotide long non-coding RNA is filed under the name Gossypium barbadense (sea-island cotton). RNAcentral describes it as "long non-coding RNA (GBAR_LNC012038)". The record is from RNAcentral. Lineage: Eukaryota; Viridiplantae; Streptophyta; Magnoliopsida; Malvales; Malvaceae.
CAAGAACUGGCAUAUACAGGGUGAGGGGAAUUAGUGAAUAAGCAAACCAGUCAAAGGGCGCCUCUUACUUGGCAGGUAAGUACAGUAUUUUGUGCUGUAAUUAAGUACAUUCAAGGGCUGGUUUCCUAACAUUUGGUUUUCACUGACUUGCCAAAGGAGAGUUGCCCUGUGACUGAUUCAGCUUAAUAUCGUAAGAUGAUUGCCCCCACACAGGUCAUUUCAACAGGUAUGUUUUUUCAAUAGAUUUGAUGUAGUAGCAUGAUGAAAAUUCUGGCAUGGUGAUUGGAAAUUUAGCUGUAGCCUGUCCUAGAUGCAAUGAUACAUAUAAACCAUGCAGCUAGCUCUUUAGAUCUUAAUCUUGGCCUGUUUUGCCUUGAAUUAUUGUAGAGAUUGGAGCAUAGUUUAUUUCUUUGAGCAUUGUGAAAUGAGGGCUUCUUCCUUUUUGUAAAAUGGCAAGAACUAUAGCUAGAUAUGGAAAAAAGAUUGUCAAAAAAUUUUGUAACCUUAACAAGGCUAAGAAUUUAACAGUAAGUCGUUUGAGAAAAUGGUGGUUUCUUGGGCAGAUAUAGAACAGUUUGGUUUGUUUUAUGUAUCCUCAAUUUUUUUUUAAUUCAUUUUCAGUUUGGUUAAAUCACUCUUAGGAUUUGAACUAAGCAAUUAUUUUCGGAACUUGAACUAGGUAACUAUUUUUAUAUUGAGGCUUCAACCUUUUAUUCAAGUUAAUUCUUGAACUUGACAAUUACUCUCGUAUUGAUGCCUAAAUUUGACAAUUUUUUCCACAUUAAACUUAAACUUUAGGUGUUUUAGGAAAUAUCAAAGGCUAACUUAGAUAAUAAUAAAAAAAUUUAAUUCUAUCAUAAAAACAAUUACCAAAUUUAAGACUUAACUUGAAAAAAAAAUUAAACCCAAAUAUAAAAAAAUUACUAAAUUCAAUUCCAGUUCAUACCAAAAAAUUAUUUAACCCUUUACAAUUAACUCACAAGAAUAAUUCACUGACAAUUAAGAAUGUGCCUAUGAUCUUAACCUGCUAAAUAGGUUUUAAGGAGAAUAUCUAAUGCAAAUGAACCAAAAGCUGGAUUCAUAUCUUCUCAAACUUAGAUAUUGGUUUCCGAAAUGCCCUUCCUUGCCUUUGGAUUUUCUUUAUUGAACAAAGAUUUGGUAUAAAGCUGCUUUAUUUAUAUUUUUUUGACUUUUCACUUUUAAUCAUUUACAUUUAUCUAAAGAAAUGAUGGAAAAUGCCGGUUAUUGGGUCGACAUAAACCCAACUACGUUAGGACCCUCCAGUUUCUCUCAACACUCGGACAAAAUUCCAACCAUUAAAAAUUUCGAAAUAGUUCUCGAUACGAAUAUUGUUGUUAAUUAAAGAAGACGUAAGUUUGCAUAUAUUGAAAUGUAUUAUCUUCUUAUUUACGAAUUGAAAAUUGAUUAUAGGUGGUUCUAGAUAUUAUCAUAAAAAAAAUGAUUCGAAUCUAUAAUAAUUUUUUUAAAAAAAAUACAAAUUAGUUUGUUUUGAAUAGGUUUAAUGUAUUAUUUAAUAUUUGAGUAUAAUAUUUUUCUCUAGUGAUAUUUAUGUUAUUUUUUUAUUUAAUUGUGGUACUUGUAUUUAACAAAAUUGAUAUAUUUUGACAACUAAAGGUAAUGAUGUUAAUUUUUUUGGUGUUUAAUUUAGAUUUUAGGGUUGAUUUGAGUUAAUAUUGUUAUUUUCAUACACCAAAAUAUUUAGCUUUUGUCAAAUACAGAUAUCAUGUUUAAAAAAAUGUCAAAUUCAAAUACAAAACUGUGUAUUAAAUCUUUUGAAUAAAAUUGACAAUUUUUUAAUAAAUAAAUGGACAUAUUUUUUUGAAAAGCAGACAUAGGAUAAGGAGAGCAAAUUUUUUAAUAGAUAUAGAAUGGUUAUGAGAAUUAUUUGUCUUGUUUCGUCUCACCUAAUCAUAUGAAAUUAAAAUUUAGUGACAAAAAUAUUAUAUUACGAGGCAUGAGAGUUUGGAUUUAAUUUCAAACAAUAUUUCAUAAAAAAUAUAUAUUUUAAAUAAAAACAAGGUUAGAUAAAAUGAGACAGAAAUAGAUACAUCUCACAUUCAUAAAUAUCAUAAUAAUUUUUCAAGAUUAUAUAUUCAUAAUAAACUUAAUCAUGAGUCAGGCCAUUCGCCCAGACCUAAAUGCCAACCUAAAAAGUAGAAGGGUUUGAGCAAAAAAUAUAAGCUCGAAAAAUGAGUAUAGAUAAAAUAAAAAUAAAUAAAAAAACUUUUUUUUGAUUUGAGCCUAAACCGAAUUUACCUAUUUUUUUCACUAUUGUUUUGUUAUUGUUUUAUGUCAUUUUGAUGUUGUUUUGCAGUCAUUUUGUUGUAAUUACUUAAAUAUUGUAUAACUCUUACUUUAUUAUUAAUUUUACUACUAUUUUAUAAACAUUUACUUGCUAAGUUGCAACUAUCUUAGUGUUAUUUUCAAUUUGUUAGAAAAUAUUUAUUUUAAUAUUUUUAAUAUAUUUAAUGUAUUAUAUUUUUUAAAUUUAUUUUAUAUAAAAAAUAAUAUAAUUUUUUUAAUAUAUAUGAACCGAGUCAAACUCCAACCGCGGAAUAAACCCGAACCAGAAAUCAGAUAUUUACCCAAUCUGACUAUGAUCAGUUGUAAUUCACAAUAAAACAAAAGAAAGCACAACAUAUGUAACUAUAAAGCAAUAAUAAAUUUCAGCAAAUCCGCUAACUUUGCUCGAUGGUGAUCACUCCAUUGGACAUGUACCUGUUUUCUGCUUUUUGGUAAAAUAUACUUACAAUGACCACACAGACACGAAAUCUACCGAUCAGAAGUGAGGAUACGUGGCAACUCUCAAAAUAUUAAACCUAUUUAUAAAACAAUAAAAAAAUACUAUAAUAAGGGCUUUUCAAAGUUACUUUUCCAUCAGUUUUUAUCAGGUUUAUUUAUCUUCUCAUUAGGUGUCAACUACAGUGAAAAGUAUUACAAUGCAAUGAGUACAUUUACGUCAACAAUUUUACCAACAAUAAAGAAGCAAAUGGUGGUUUUCCGUAAAGCGAAGUAUCAUAAAGUUGGCAGAAUUUCCAAUAUGGCUCCAAAAUAUUUUUCAUGUCGAUUAUUGCGUAAAAUUACAGUAAAUUUUAUUUCUUCUGGUAUAUAAUACACCGAUCAUUAUGUACCUUAAAGUACAAGAAACUUAUUAAUCACAACAUGAAUUCACACAACGAAACAAAGAAAAAAGAAAGCAGUCUUUUAUUGCCGCUCAAUCUCUGUUAUUCUCUCUCAUUCUCUCUCUUUUUCUCAAGCCCUCAAUUUACCACUCUGCAAUUCAAUCUCACUUCUCCAUUUUCCAUCACCCCUACAUUCCCAAGCUUCACCAUCGAUGUGGCAAAUUCUUUGAAGAACAAACUUUGAUCAUUAGCGAAUGAUUCAACAAUCCAUUUAGUCCUAUAAUCACUAUACAGUGCUUGAUCGGAUCCGAACACACCUUUCCCUGCCAACAGUUGUUUGUAAUAAUUAUUAUCGAAAGUUGAUGCCGUGGAGUCCAAGAACUGUCCUGCAUUGCCAUUUUUAUUUGGUUUCGGGCAUUUCUUCUUCAGUGUUUCUGCGAAUUCAGGGUUCAUUGUAGGGUCGAUGUCCUGAACCGAGCUGAAAUUAUGGAGCCGAGCUUGGAAUGAAGAACAGUGUGAGAAUCCUAGGGUGUGACCUCCGGAUAGGGCUACUAAGUCCUUGACCCUUAAACGUCGCUUAGUGAAGCUUUGAAUGAGUGUUGAAACG